RNAcentral lists this long non-coding RNA (836 nucleotides) under Capsicum annuum. RNAcentral describes it as "long non-coding RNA (CANN_LNC003005)". The record is from RNAcentral. Lineage: Eukaryota; Viridiplantae; Streptophyta; Magnoliopsida; Solanales; Solanaceae.
UCCUUAUAAGGCUUGGGCAAUCCUCCUCCUCUUGAGUUAGCUUUUGGGGUGUGAGUUAGGCCCAAGACCAAUUUUAACAUGGUAUCAAAGCCAAACCCAUCUCACCCAAUGUUGGGCCUCCGGAUUGAGAUUCGGGAGAGAUUUUUCACGCCCAGUUAAGGUUUGGGCGUGAGGGGAUGUUAGAAGAAAGAGAAGAAAAUCCCACAUUAGUAGUUAAUGAGAUGGGUGGUCUCCUUAUAAGGCUUGGGCAAUCCUCCUCCUCUUAAGCUAGCUUUUGGGGUGUGAGUUAGGCCACAUUGGUAGUUAAUGAGAUGGGUGGUCUCCUUAUAAGCUUUUGGGGUGUGAGUUAGGCCACAUUGGUAGUUAAUGAGAUGGGUGGUCUCCUUAUAAGGCUUGAGCAAUCCUCCUCCUCUUAAGCUAACUUUUGGGGUGUGAGUUAGGCCCAAGAGGGAUGUUAGAAUAGCUCACUCACCUGUCUUGAGCAAUCCUCCUCCUCUUGAGCUAGCUUUUGGGGUGUGAGUUAGGCCCUAGAAGGGAUGUUAGAAUAGCUCACUCACCUGCAAGGGCAGCUAAUUCAACUUCUCCUUCCAAAGGAAAUAACCCAAGAGGGGAUUUUAGAAUAGCUCACUCACCUGCCUUGGGCAAUCGUCCUCCUCUUGAGCUAGCUUUUGGGGUGUGAGUUAGGCCAAAAGGGGAUGUUAGAAUAGCUCACUCACCUGCAAGGGCAACUAAUUCAACAACUUCUGCUUACAAAGGAAAUAGGACCUCAAGAUUAUCCUCACACUCACGGACUAGUCUCAUUAGAGUCUCCGUAGUAAAGAUCGGCUGAUGAAGAG